GUAACAAGGUUUCCGUAGGUGAACCUGCGGAAGGAUCAUUACUGGUAGUUUUUUUAGUACGAGGAAAAAUUUCUCUCGGCUAGAAAAAUAUCUUAUCCUGUGCAAUGAACUUGUCGCCUGGGGUUUGAAUAUAGUCUCUGAAAUUCUUUUUCAUUGCUGACCCCAAUAGGCAUCCUUUCAAUACUUUUUGGUAUUAAAACACAAUUGUAUUUUAUAACUGAAUUUUAUAUCUUUGCUAUAAAGAUUAUAACCAAAUGGGCUUUUUUGGCUUGUUUGAAAAAACAACUUUCAGCAAUGGAUCUCUUGGUUCUCGCAUCGAUGAAGAACGUAGCAAACUGCGAUAAGUAGUGUGAAUUGCAUUCAGUGAAUCAUCGAAUCUUUGAACGCACCUUGCACUCACUGGUAUUCCGGUGAGUACGCCUGUUUCAGUAUCAUUGAAAACCCACAACCCAACAAUUUUUGUUUGGUUGGACUUGGGCUAUUCGUUUGGUAGUCAGUUCUAGUAUAUUUUUUUAUACCAGAAUGCAGACAAGCCAAGCAGCCUGGAAUUCUCUGUCGGUCAAUUGUAUCGUAGUAAUCAUUAUACAAGACCUGAGCUUUAUAAACGAACUGGGCUUCUUUGAUUUGACCAGUUUUAGCUYUAGUCAUUGGGAUUACGGUAAAUCGAUCUUGGCUCCAAGUCUGGUCUAGUCAAACCUCGGUUUUUCUAGUCAAACCAAAUCAUUUUUCUCAGUAUCGAUCUGAAAUCAGGUGGGACUACCCGCUGAACUUAAGCAUAUCAAUAAGC
Molecule: ribosomal RNA, 787 nt
Filed under: Saksenaea loutrophoriformis
Lineage: Eukaryota; Fungi; Mucoromycota; Mucoromycetes; Mucorales; Saksenaeaceae
Description: partial 5.8S ribosomal RNA
Rfam family: 5.8S ribosomal RNA (bases 284-434)
Source: RNAcentral